Molecule: ribosomal RNA, 292 nt
Filed under: uncultured bacterium
Lineage: Bacteria
Description: partial 16S ribosomal RNA
Rfam family: Bacterial small subunit ribosomal RNA
Source: RNAcentral
GUGCCAGCCGCCGCGGUAAUACAGAGGUGGCAAGCGUUGCUCGGUAUCACUGGGCUUAAAGGGCGCGUAGGCGGUGCGGUGCGGUUUCGGUGAAAUCCCUCGGCCCAACCGAGGAACAGCCGGGGCUACGGCCGCGCUAGACGGCAUCAGGGGACAGUGGAACUCCCGGUGGAGCGGUGAAAUGCGUAGAUAUCGGGAGGAACGCCGGUGGCGAAAGCGACUGUCUGGGGUGCCUGUGACGCUGAGGCGCGAAAGCCAGGGGAUCAAACGGGAUUAGAUACCCCGGUAGUCC